UACGUAGGCAGCAAGCGUUGUUCGGAGUUACUGGGCGUAAAGGGUGCGUAGGCGGCUUUUUAAGUUUGGUGUGAAAUCUCCCGGCUCAACUGGGAGGGUGCGCCGAAUACUGAGAGGCUAGAGUGUGGGAGAGGAAGUGGAAUUCCUGGUGUAGCGGUGAAAUGCGUAGAUAUCAGGAGGAACACCGGUGGUGUAAACGGCUUCUGGACCAUAACUGACGCUGAGGCACGAAAGCGUGGGUAGCAAACAGG
RNAcentral lists this ribosomal RNA (251 nucleotides) under uncultured bacterium. Its description in RNAcentral is "partial 16S ribosomal RNA". It matches the Rfam family "Bacterial small subunit ribosomal RNA", at positions 524 to 776 of the family's 1533-position model. The record is from RNAcentral.